This 444-nucleotide ribosomal RNA is filed under the name TM7 phylum sp. canine oral taxon 322. RNAcentral describes it as "bacterial SSU rRNA". It matches the Rfam family "Bacterial small subunit ribosomal RNA", at positions 9 to 463 of the family's 1533-position model. The record is from RNAcentral. Lineage: Bacteria; Candidatus Saccharimonadota.
GAGUUUGAUCAUGGCUCAGGAUGAAUGCUGGCGGCGUGCCUAACACAUGCAAGUCGAGCGGCAGCGCGAGUAGUUUACUACUUGGCGGCGAGCGGCGGACGGCUGAGUAACGCGUGGGAAUUUGCCCCAAAGUGAGGGAUAACUGCCCGAAAGGGUAGCUAAUACCGCAUAUGGUCUUCGGAUUAAAGGAUUUAUCCGCUUUGGGAGAAGCCCGCGUUGGAUUAGGUUGUUGGUAGGGUAAUGGCCUACCAAGCCGACGAUCCAUAGCUGGUCUGAGAGGAUGAUCAGCCAGACUGGAACUGAGACACGGUCCAGACUCCUACGGGAGGCAGCAGUGAGGAAUCUUCCACAAUGGGCGAAAGCCUGAUGGAGCAACGCCGCGUGAAGGAUGAAGGCCUUCGGGUUGUAAACUUCUUUUAUGAGUGAAGAAUAUGACCGUACUCA